RNAcentral lists this ribosomal RNA (436 nucleotides) under Aeromonas veronii. RNAcentral describes it as "partial 16S ribosomal RNA". It matches the Rfam family "Bacterial small subunit ribosomal RNA", at positions 558 to 993 of the family's 1533-position model. The record is from RNAcentral. Lineage: Bacteria; Pseudomonadati; Pseudomonadota; Gammaproteobacteria; Aeromonadales; Aeromonadaceae.
GCGUAAAGCGCACGCAGGCGGUUGGAUAAGUUAGAUGUGAAAGCCCCGCCCUUAACCUGGGAAUUGCAUUUAAAACUGUCCAGCUAGAGUCCUUUAGAGGGGGGUAGAAUUCCAGGUGUAGCGGUGAAAUGCGUAGAGAUCUGGAGGAAUACCGGUGGCGAAGGCGCCCCCCUGGACAAAGACUGACGCUCAGGUGCGAAAGCGUGGGGAGCAAACAGGAUUAGAUACCCUGGUAGUCCACGCCGUAAACGAUGUCGAUUUGGAGGCUGUGUCCUUGAGACGUGGCUUCCGGAGCUAACGCGUUAAAUCGACCGCCUGGGGAGUACGGCCGCAAGGUUAAAACUCAAAUGAAUUGACGGGGGCCCGCACAAGCGGUGGAGCAUGUGGUUUAAUUCGUUUUUUUGCGAAGAACCUUACCUGGCCUUGAGGGGGGGGG